CCUCACGUCUGUCACAAACUGUCUGGAAUUAAAAUCCUAAGGAAACCCCUCAUGAUUUCAGAUGGCAAAUUGUAAACAAAAUUUAUCAUUCAUGCCUUCUGCUUCUUCCAGCAACAAACCACAGGCUUCUAGUAACUUGAUUAAGGAAACCUAUACCAGUAGCACACUGCAACAAGUAAUCAAAGGUCAAAAUUAACAAAAGUGACUUGAUUUCAUCAUCAACCUUAAAUUCCAAUGGUGCAGAAGCUCAAAACUUUCGUCACUCGGUCUCCAUAAGCAUUUUCCCAGCAGGUCUGCUAUGGGAGAAUAAUGAGCACCGAUUGGCAACAGUUAAGCUGCUAUACCUAACAGGAAAAGAAAAAAAACACUAACUUUACAGGAUUAUUGUUGCGCUUAUGAUUUGAAAUUUUCUCAGGUAUCAUUUCUUCUCUUAAAGGGGGGCGUCUGUACAAAGAUGUUACACUUGAUUAUUUACCCCCAUGUAUUUGGAACUUAUCAUCUCUUAUUCUACAUGUCACGCCAACGGCUUUUGCUCACUGAUGGUAUAAUGGAAGAAAAUGUCUCCAUAUACAUGAAAACAAGGUAUCUGCAAGACGAUUGACUAGACUGGAAUUGCAGACGUUCAUUGAUAGAACACACGAAACUUGUCAUUGUUCAAACAGCUUCAUAUGAUAAUUGAAAUCCAGUUACCAGUAGGAAACUGUCAGCCAGUCUUUGAGAAUAUGCCCAUUUUGCAACCUGCAAAUCAAUUAACCUAAGGCAUUAGAAAAUUUGUUUACCAAGUCAUAUUAACUCAACAAGAAACAAACAACAUAAAUAUAUGUGUGAAGAUAACAUGUCAAGGAAAGAAUAUGUUAUUUUCUUAGCGACUUCCCAAAAAGAAUAUACUUUUGCACCACACAUACUUUAGCCAAAAAUUCUACAAUUAGAGUUAGCUCAUGAUACUGGAAGGAAUUAAAGAUGAAAAUGCCUAUAAUUGAUCAUCUUCACCACUUGUUACAGAUCAUUCCUUUAACAUAUACAGAAGUUGCAUCAAAACAAAUGUAAUGAAUAUAUAUUUUAAUAUAUUGAAAUGCAUAUUGUAUGUAUAUCGAAUUUAUAUUUGGUGGGAUGGAGGGAAGAAGCAAUUUCAGAAACUCAUUGUGAUUUUAUGAAGUUCACACUUUCAGUAUUACUUUUUUGUUACAGGCCAUCAUUUUGCACUUACAAGUAUAUGAAGUAUAUGAAGUACACGACCCCAAAUGGUAAAUUAAAAAAACAAAGGUCACAAUUGUAAAACAGCCCAAAGUACAAGCUACUUUUUUUUUUAUUAGGCCUAAAACCUCAUGAUAAAUUUAUUGAGAUAGAAGAAUGAUGAAUAAAUGUCAGGAAGCAAACCAAAUUUCUGAAAACUACUGGAGUAACAAUAAUAUCUACUGUCAAAAAGUUUCAAAAAAUAUAAAUCAUCAACUACAUGCAUUAUUCAAUGGUACCGUAAGCCUUUACAAGCAAGGUGCACAUGUAUAAUGUCUACCAUGCUGCUUGGACUUAGGAAUAGGUGUCACUUGCAUGUCCAUGUCUGCCACAGGCUUGUUCAAUUUGUUCAUAAUUUUGAACCGAAGAACUCAGUGUCCAUAUCAUGACUCCAGUGAGUGCACUUGCCCCACUCAAACUAACUUAGAUCCACCCUUAUAGGCAUUAAAGUACUUAGAUAAAAAAAAAAAAAUCUAGUAGUAGUAGUUUGAAACAAAUAUUAAGAACAAUAGAACUUGACAGCUAGCAGAAUUGUGACUCACAUGAUAUGCUCUAGGUCACUCCCAUCUUUGUUGCAUGAGGACAACCUUCAGAAACAAGCGCACUUCCAUUCACAGAUUUAGUGCUGUCACAUCUCUCCUUGUCCAAAGUGAACUCAAGUUGCCUCUCUACAGACUUGAAAACAGCAGUUCGUUUGGAUUUCAACCUGUAUGGAGGAGAUGCAUUAAAAGCUUUACCAUUAGGCAAGGACGUGCUAUUAUCUGGAUGAGGACUGUCAAACAAAUUUUUAUCUUGAGACCCAGCCUUUUCAGACGUAUUCUCAGUUCUUCUCUGCAGCCUAUCUUCAACACAUUCUUGACCUACUUUCCCAACUUUAGCAGGAAGCAGGUGCACUUGACUUCCAGUUUUUCGCUUUCGAAAUAUGGAUGGAGUGUUGGGGUAGCUUUUUGCAGCAGUUCUCAAUAUAGAUUCAGGGCUUUGGGCACUUAAAUGACUACUCUUCACACAAGGUGGAGUGAAGAAACUAAUGGGGGAAGAAAUUGGGCUAGAACUGUACUCAUGCUGCACUUGACGCAUAACUAAAGGAUUCAAAUCUAUUGGAGUACAAGUUUCUAACAGUGGUGGUUCAUAAUACAAAGGACCAUAAGUAGAUGUUUCAAACUGCAAUUGAGACCCAAAAACUUUUUCUUCACUAAUUUCAUAGUUGAUUCUGUAAUUCUCACAUUUUCGUAGUGACUCUGAAUCACAGCAACUAAGAUCUGCGACAAAUGAAUGCGGUUUACAUUCUACACCUACAGAAUCAGCAGACUCAUUUGGAAAAACACUUGAUGAAGCUGCCAUAUCUCGCACCAGAGCUACAGACUCUAAUUGAUCCUUACCAUCUUCUUCUAGCUUACAUGCAUCAGUAGUUCCUGAUGAAGUUCGAGCAGUUGAAUCUGAUUCUUUACUUGUCUUGGUGACAGCAGGUUUAUUCGUAUCUUUACUUCCAUCUUGAAUACUAUUCUUUGCAACUGAAGGAUGUUUCCGCGAAGAAAAAACAAUAUCAUUCUUUACAACUGGAGGAAGUUUCCCUGUAGCCAGAUAGAAAUCUAAUUUUUUCUUCAAGGAACUAUUCCAGUGAUUCUUUAUAGAGUUAUCAGUCCUUCCCGGUAAAACCUUUGCUAUUUCAGCCCAUUUGUUCCCAUGUUUCCGAUGGGCAUUCAUGAGUUCCAACUCCUCCUCUAAUGUCCAAGCAUCCUUCUUUAUAUCAGGAUUCAAAUGAUUGUGCCACCUACAAUUAUUUUACACAAUGCCUUCACAGCUAUAUAAAUCAAUCACUAAUAUUUUCCCUGCAUGUGAAAAUAAAAAAUGCCUAUAUACUCUUCAAUAAUUUUUAGUACGGAAAUAUACCAGUGAUGAUUUGAUAAUUGUGCUAGCAAAAUAACCACAACAUGCUAGAAAUGAUGCAUAAGAAUAUAAGGUCAGCUACAUAAUUUCAAGAUUUCUUGUAUCAUACUAUCUUACUACUAUCAUACUUCACUAAAGAAGGGGGACAAAGGGCAGUGCUAAAUGGCAAACAUGAUAGUCAGCAUUGUUAAAUAAAAUCAAACUAGAUUCAACUUCACUUUUAAAAGUUACCUUUCCCGGCAUUGUUUCCCUAUGCGACCAGGUAAAGACUUGGCUAUGACAGACCACUUUGUGGGUCCAUAUUUUGCUACCAGUACAGUUAUUUUAUCAUCCUCCUCUUGAGUCCAAGGUCCUUUAACAAGAUCAGGAUUAAGAACCUUCUGCCAUCUAUGUAGACAUUGCACUUCUGAUCUAUCAGGAAAAAACUCAGCUAUUUUCUUCCAACUUUUCCCCUUAAAAGCAGCAACAGCAUUUCUUAACGUUUCAUCCUCCUCUGGAGUCCAGCCACCUUUUGCUCGCCUUAUUGGCCCAGUGGUUCUCCUAUGAGUUGGCGAAGCUGUUGCUGGACUGGAUACUCCGGGAGACUUGAGAAUAGCACUGCCACUGCCUUCAGAUAUAGACGAGCUUGAAGCCGCCGUUAAUUGCUUAUUUUCAAGGCAGCACUCCUCUAUCUUCACCUCACCCAUUUCUUUAUUCUAUUAACAUUUCUAAAACACGAGUUCCGAACAUAUAAAUACUAGUUAAUCAUACAAAUAAAACAAAAACAAUUAAAACCAUAAACCCUUGAGCCAGCAGUGAUGCUAACCCACAAAAAAAAAACCCUAAAAAGCCCAACUCUGGACCAAUAAAGUCAAUCCCACUCCACCAAAUACAGAUAAAAAGAGAACCCAGAUCUUAAAAAUCAGUAAUUAGAUAAAAAAAAAACAAAGAAAAAGAGAAAAUCGGAUCCAAUUCUAGGGUUUUUAUCAAGAAAACCCAAAUAUUGUUCCAAAUCAGGGCUACUUAAGGCUCAAGCAAAUACGGAUUAUAAGAUCAAAGACAGUAAAAACACAAAAAAAAAUAUUCAAAUGAAAGCAAGCUCAAGAACAAAACUAAUGAUUGGGCGAAAGUGGAAAGAAGCUGACCGCUGAUUGAGAAGUGGCGGGAAUCGAAGCAAAGCUCA
RNAcentral lists this unclassified non-coding RNA (4282 nucleotides) under Hevea brasiliensis (rubber tree). The record is from RNAcentral. Lineage: Eukaryota; Viridiplantae; Streptophyta; Magnoliopsida; Malpighiales; Euphorbiaceae.